Long non-coding RNA from Drosophila miranda, 2131 nucleotides. RefSeq lists it as uncharacterized. The record is from RefSeq and is a predicted model, not a curated record. The transcript has 3 exons. NCBI's taxonomy places the organism in Eukaryota, Metazoa, Arthropoda, Insecta, Diptera, Drosophilidae.
AUUUUUGUAAAACUAUUUCUAAGAAAAAAUAAGGGGGAACGUUGUGAGACGCGGCAAAGACCGCGGUUCUACUUUAUGUCCGGUAGUCAGGCAAUAUGGCUCCUCUCCGAUAGAUGGCGCACACUGCGCAUUGAGAGUGAGAGACAGCGUUCCCAAUUUAGCUUAUUUAAGGCUAGAUCUAGCUUAUUUGAAAGCGGAACAGCUUGAAAAAUUAUGAAAAUGCUUAUAGCUUUAAAUCUAGCCUUUUUUAAUUUCACUUUGCUUAUCUUUUCCUUUUUAUAUCCUACAUGUAUUUUUUGGUAUUUUUUAAGACAAAUCGAACAAAAAGUAUAUUUGUAGUACAUAUUUUGGUGUAUCAUGGUAUUUUAGAAUUUAUUUAUGGUUUCUUUUCGUUGAAAAGUUUCGGUCUAUACAGAAACUUGGUUGGUGAUCGUGAAAUGUGUAAAUGUGUAAAACAUGCCAAAAACAGGUUACAAACAAAAUUUUCAUCGACAAGCAUCGAUUUCCUCAAAAAUAAAAUAAUACCGCCUGAUGCAAAGAUUGAUGUCUUGAAAGAUGACUUGGAUGAAUUUGCUGUGUCUUCAUAAUAUAUGGGAUAUUUAUUUGAAAAGGAAAUUAAAGAGAAAAAUUAUAAUAAUGAAGUUAACGAAAUCAGAGAGAUGUGCAAGGAUUUUAUAAAGGAGCUAAUUAUCCAACUCAGAGAAAGACUUCCAGAUAAUUUUGAGACAUUAGAAAAACUUAGAAAAUUAGAAAACACAAAAACAUUAGAAAGUUUUUGCAGCAGAAAAUGUACUCAAACAUAAUAAAAAUCAUAAUGAUCUCAUUUCCAUAUUGGAACACUUUAACUAUAAGAAUAUAGAUGGAAUUCUUGCCCAAUAUGGCAAAAUUCAAUUAGUCCCUUGGCAAAGUACAGAUGACACGAUACAAUUUUGGUCAGAAGUACUGACUUAUAAAGAUGCUGGCAAAAACAAGCCUUUUGAAGAAAUCGCUUUAUUUGCCAUUGGCAUUUUAAGUCUACCGUGGUCAAAUGCUGCUAUUGAACGUGUAUUCAGUCAAAUGAAUAUUGUUAAGACCAAGCUAAGGAACAAAAUGACCGUUAAUUCCUUAAACUCAAUAUUAAAUAUAAGAUAUGGAUUGCGCCGUCAUGGAAAAUGUUGUCACAACUAUCAAUUACCGGAGAAAUAUUUAAAUUUAAUACGUUCCAGCGAUAAAUAUACCGAUUCAAGCAAUAGCGAAUUGGAUGAAAUAAUAACACAAUUAUAAAUGUAUAUAUCUAUGUGUUGUUUUAUUUUUAGCCUGUUUUUUACAAUUUUUAGCUUGUUCUAGCUUGUAUUUUUGUAAAAUCUAGCUUAUUUUAGCGCUCAAAAUCUGGCAACACUGGUGAGAGAAUGAGUAAGCGCUUGGCUGGGGUUGCGUAUCACAGGAGACUGGUUACAAAAUUUAGUUUCUAGCUCUUAUAGUCUUUGACAUCUCAUCGGGACGGACAGACAGACAGACUGGCUAUAUCGACUCGUAUGUAUUCAUAUAGAUGCAUGCAUAUUGCCACUCAAAAUAAAUUCGAGUUGAUUAGGAGUUGAUAAUAGUCGUCACAUUGCAUAUAGAUGUAUACUUACACGUCACAAACGUACCCAUUUCCUAAUAAAUGUCACCGAAAAUACAGCAAUAGCUGACGCCACAAAUCAUUGAAGUGUUUCAAUGUACUGUGAUUACAAAUCCCCUUUACAAAAUUUGUAGGCAUUGAUGUGUAUUAUUUUUGUAUUAAACAUAUUGGGGAAUACCCUAGUUAAAAAAGAACACAAAGUUUUUCAAUCUCCAACACUCUUCUAUACGUGUCAGCGCGCUAAGUUAAUUGACUGCUUAUUUUAAGUUAGGUGUUUAUCAGAACUUUUUCCGCGAGAUUGAUUAAGAGCCGUUUUCUCAAUUUCGAACUAAAAUGCCAGUUGGUUGCCUCUCCGAAAAAGUUGACGAACAGAUAAACGUGUCUAAAAAAAACAAUUCGGCUUUCUCGAGGUCGUGGUAAUUUGUGAAAACGAAAAAGAAUAAUGGGUUUAAGCGCACAAAUGUGCUGUACAGCGCAAAACUCAGUAUAACCUUUGCAAGAAAAUGUAGCUAUCGACAAAACGGUACCAGA